UACCUCACCAGUCCACCCUACUGUCAACAUUAAACCAAAUCAUUCAUAUUUUGUCUACAGAGGGCUUGCAGUUGCGUCACAAAUCACCUAGCAACCCCACCUUGCACCAUGUUGGAAGACCAAAGUUAGUAUGUGGGAUGCCUCCAAUCGACCACAUGGCUGGCUGCAUUCUGCUACCACCGGAAACUUCGGGAAGAUUGCCCAUUAUUUAUUUUCUCUAAGCACCCAGAAGACGAGGGCGUGGGAGAACCUAUUCAAAUAGAGUGCCAUGAAACACUGUCUACAGAUGAAGAGGUCCCAAUGAUUGUCCCAAGAGAAAAAGGGUACAUCCUUGUAUACCAAGGAUUAUAUGUGUACCUAUGUUGGCAAAUUUUGUGAACAGAAAUACAGUUUAAAAGUCACACACAAUGUAUAAACCUAUUACAGCUGGAGCAGACCAACCCUGCUGGGUGUGCAGGCUUCUGUUCCAGCCCUGCACUAACACACCUGAUUCAAUGUAUCAAACCUAUUACAGCUGGAGCAGACCAACCCUGCUGGGUGUGCAGGCUUCUGUUCCAGCCCUGCACUAACACACCUGAUUCAAUGUAUCAAACCUAAUUAGUUCAUUAUCAGGUAUGCUAUUGCUGGGCAGGAACGUAAGUCUGCUCCUCCAGUAGAUCAGUGAUCAGUGGAUGGAGGUUGGCCACCUCUUGUAUUUUUGUUGUUGUUCUACUUAAAUGAUGCUUUAGUAGUAAUAGCCUACUUAUUACUAAAAUGUCUAACCUUUACAUAUCAGUUAGUUUACUUGUAUACUUUGUAAUUAUAUGAAAUAGUGUUGAAAUAGAUAAGUUAUAAACUUGAUUUAAUUGUUAACUAUUAUUCAAAAUGAACUAUGUUGCUUCAUCACAAUCCUGCAAUAAAGAGGGGAAUCUGUCUCUAA
Oncorhynchus kisutch (coho salmon) is the source of this 919-nucleotide long non-coding RNA. RefSeq lists it as uncharacterized. NCBI's taxonomy places the organism in Eukaryota, Metazoa, Chordata, Actinopteri, Salmoniformes, Salmonidae. The transcript is spliced from 2 exons. The record is from RefSeq and is a predicted model, not a curated record.